GUCGUCGCAGUCUACGUCGACGCAUCGUCUGCAGGGAUAGUCGCCCGCCCGACACGGGGCGGCACAGACGAGAGGA
This 76-nucleotide non-coding RNA is filed under the name uncultured Olsenella sp. RNAcentral describes it as "aspS RNA". It matches the Rfam family "aspS RNA". The record is from RNAcentral. Lineage: Bacteria; Bacillati; Actinomycetota; Coriobacteriia; Coriobacteriales; Atopobiaceae.